GCACUCAUAGCUCAGCUGGAUAGAGCGCUGCCCUCCGAAGGCAGAGGUCGUAGGUUCAAAUCCUACUGGGUGCGCCA
Molecule: transfer RNA, 77 nt
Filed under: Paracoccaceae bacterium
Lineage: Bacteria; Pseudomonadati; Pseudomonadota; Alphaproteobacteria; Rhodobacterales; Paracoccaceae
Description: Rhodobacteraceae bacterium (freshwater metagenome) tRNA-Arg
Rfam family: tRNA
About the family: Transfer RNA (tRNA) molecules are approximately 80 nucleotides in length. Their secondary structure includes four short double-helical elements and three loops (D, anti-codon, and T loops).
Source: RNAcentral